UCACUUAAAUAUUGUUGAUUUGGGAAAAAACAUUUGUGUGGAAAUUAUUUCUCGCUUUAACGUGGGAAAAAUAACUCCUGCGUCAAAAAAAUUUCUACAUAUGAAGAUGUUUACCACUUCACAGGAGUGUAAGAUUUAAUAUUGUGUGUCUGUGUGUGUUUAUAUUAUGUAAUGUUUUACAGUUGUAGUUGUAAAUACUAUUUUAUGUCUAUAUAGAACUCUAGCUGUUUUUCUUAUUUUUUCUUGAAAUUUUUGUACUAUCUUUAUCUUUAAAAUAAUAAUCCCUCAUCCCACCUAUGACUUUAUUUUCUCUUUUUCUUUUGCAGUAAAAGUUAUUUUUUCUGCUGGUUUAU
RNAcentral lists this long non-coding RNA (353 nucleotides) under Mytilus galloprovincialis (Mediterranean mussel). Lineage: Eukaryota; Metazoa; Mollusca; Bivalvia; Mytilida; Mytilidae. The record is from RNAcentral.